RNAcentral lists this transfer RNA (72 nucleotides) under Ictidomys tridecemlineatus (thirteen-lined ground squirrel). Its description in RNAcentral is "Spermophilus tridecemlineatus (thirteen-lined ground squirrel) tRNA". It matches the Rfam family "tRNA". Rfam says of the family: Transfer RNA (tRNA) molecules are approximately 80 nucleotides in length. Their secondary structure includes four short double-helical elements and three loops (D, anti-codon, and T loops). Lineage: Eukaryota; Metazoa; Chordata; Mammalia; Rodentia; Sciuridae. The record is from Rfam by way of RNAcentral.
GGGGAUGUAGCUCAGUGGUAGAACACUUGCCUUGCAUGUAAGAGGCCCUGGGUUCCAUCUCCAACACCACCA